RNAcentral lists this unclassified non-coding RNA (361 nucleotides) under Hevea brasiliensis (rubber tree). Lineage: Eukaryota; Viridiplantae; Streptophyta; Magnoliopsida; Malpighiales; Euphorbiaceae. The record is from RNAcentral.
UUCUUUUUUUUUUUUUUUCUUCUUCCACCAUUCCCCUAUUAAUUUCUUACUUUCCUCCUUAGAUGUUUAAAUUGUUGUAAAACUGUGGAACAUGUUAAUAAUCCGAGCUUCCCAAAAUCUUAUUGUGAAUAUUCAGCCUGACAGAAAUUAAGAAUGGGUAUUAUGCUGAUCUUUAGCUUGAUGAGUUAAAGUUCCGUGAUAACUGAUUGAAUUAGUGCCUUUUGUGGAAAAUUGUAAGAAUUUUUGAGUUGUUAUUUCGCUAUGGGAUUUCUCAUUGCAGAAAAUUAAUAGCAAUAAAAUUAGAACUACAUAAUCGGAGAAAAUGCCUUUCAGAUAAUUAAUUUGCAUUAAAUAACUUCGG